RNAcentral lists this unclassified non-coding RNA (332 nucleotides) under soil metagenome. RNAcentral's name for it is "partial contains 5.8S ribosomal RNA, internal transcribed spacer 2, and large subunit ribosomal RNA". The stretch from base 1 to 120 matches the Rfam family "5.8S ribosomal RNA", at positions 35 to 154 of the family's 154-position model. The record is from RNAcentral.
GAUGAAGAACGUAGCGAAAUGCGAUAAGUAAUGUGAAUUGCAGAAUUCAGUGAAUCAUCGAAUCUUUGAACGUACAUUGCGCCCGCCAGUAUUCUGGCGGGCAUGCCUGUCCGAGCGUCAUUUCAACCAUCAAGCCCCGGGCUUGUGUUGGGGACCUGCGUCCGACGCAGGCCCUGAAAACCAGUGGCGGGCUCGCUGUCCACACCGAGCGUAGUAACUAACCUCGCUAUGGAGUGGCGCGGGCGCCUGCCGUAAAACCCCCAAUUUCACAAGGUUGACCUCGGAUCAGGUAGGAAUACCCGCUGAACUUAAGCAUAUCAAUAAGCGGAGGA